This 194-nucleotide ribosomal RNA is filed under the name uncultured Aquabacterium sp. RNAcentral's name for it is "partial 16S ribosomal RNA". It matches the Rfam family "Bacterial small subunit ribosomal RNA", at positions 1190 to 1382 of the family's 1533-position model. The record is from RNAcentral. Lineage: Bacteria; Pseudomonadati; Pseudomonadota; Betaproteobacteria; Burkholderiales; Sphaerotilaceae.
UCCUCAUGGCCCUUAUGGGUAGGGCUACACACGUCAUACAAUGGCCGGUGCAGAGGGCUGCCAACCCGCGAGGGGGGAGCCAAUCCCAGAAAACCGGUCGUAGUCCGGAUCGUAGUCUGCAACUCGACUGCGUGAAGUCGGAAUCGCUAGUAAUCGCGGAUCAGCUUGCCGCGGUGAAUACGUUCCCGGGUCUU